CUUAAAUAUUAGGUGAUAAAUGCUUUCCUUCUGAAAUCUAUUCAGCCUAAAUGCAUUACUCACUGUAUUUUAGCCAAUAUUCAUCCUGUAGCUUAUAAUGAUAUAGUGUCAGGGCUGAGAAUUUGAGCAAAUAAUUACUGAGAGCCAGGUGCCAGGGAAGUGGCAUGGCAGACACGGGGACUUGUACUCUAGAUUGAAGGAAAGGAGGUUUAGAAUAGGUCUGGGAGAGGAGAAAGGGCCUUUUCUGGAAGAGGAAUGAAAUGAGCAGGCACAGAUGUGAGGAUGAGUAUAGGUGGGAAAUAUCCAAACUCUGAAUUUCCCUUUGCAUAAAUAGAAAAAUGACGAUGAUGAUAGAUAAAUAGAUAGAUAGAUAGAUAGUUGAAUAGGUAGGUGUUGAAUGGAGAAACUCACACUGGGAAGCGAAACUCUGUGGUGAUAUUUUAGUGAAGCUUAUUAAAUAGAAAAAUGAAAGAAAAUAUAAAUAGAAAAUUUAUAUCAUUUAAAACUUAUGAAGGAGAUGUUUAUCUUAAUAUAACAAAUAUUGAGAAAUAGGGAAAGAGGGAUUUGAAAACCUAGCAAUUUAAACUUUAUUACUUUUCUGUCUGAGGAUGGAAACUCAGGUUAGAUAUUCAUGCAACAACUGGAAUGACGCAACCGUGUUCUUCCUCCACCUGCGCUCCAGGACUGCAGUUCGGAGGACAAUGGAGCAGUGACUCGCACAGCGCUGGUUGAGUAUAAAUCGGUAUAAUUUCUCUGAAGGAAAAAAAAUAAAUGCCCUAUAGGUCAAAAACCUUGAAAAUGUAUAGAUACUAAUGAUUCUACUGCUUGGAAUUUAUCCAAAAUAAAUGGUCAGAUAAUCCAGGUCAUUAAAAUAGAAUCAACCUAAAUGCGAACUGUACAAGAUUGACUCAAUAAAUUAUAUUAUAUCCAGAUGGCCAUCACCGUGUAAUUCCAGCCAUGAAGAAACAUCACUCUUGACAAUUGUUUCAAGUUCGGGUGAAGUGGAGAAGUUUUCUUCAUCAGCAACCCUUGGAAUUAUGCACAGGUAGUCUAUGAGUUCAGCCACACAAGGGAAGAUGAAAAUGAGACUGCCAGGAAACUUGCAUCCAUCCCCCUUUCCUAUGACUAUGCCGGCUGCCAAAGUGCUGACCAAAGUUGAAAGGUCAGCAGUCAUCUGUGGCAGAUGUGCUUCAUCCUGAUAAACACUUGGUUGCUGGAAACAGUUCUGUUCGCAGAUAGCUUAUAAUUCAGCAAUGAUUGAAAAGAAAAGCAACCUAUAUCCUCUUGCUAAAUUUCCCUUGAGAAGAAUGAGUAAAGUGAGCUGUGUAGCCUUGGAACCAUGGAAGAGAUUUCCUGUGUAAUGUUCACAGUUUUGGCAAGCAGCUGCCACAGAUGGAUUGGAGAAGACCAUCGUGAUCCAAGCAUGGCUAUGUAGAGUGAAGUGAAUGUGGCAAGAACUGUGCCUUUUAUACUGAAUUCAGAUGAGAAUCGGCAUUGACAUUGACAUUUAGAAGGAAGUCUAUAAUUUGGUGGUUGAAACUGCCUGUGAGGUAUUAAAACAGGAUAAAUUUUCAGUUGAAGAAGAGAACUGAUUCAUCAUGAUUGGACAAUAUAUUGAAUGAGACCAGGAAGCCAUCUCUGCUUCCUCGCUUCUCACUUGACCAGGGAGGAUAUAAAUGGCUGUAUGAAGGGGUUUGAGUGACUUGUUCCCGUGAGAACAGUUCUCAAGAAUGAGCUAUCUUCCUAUCUUGCUGAAACACUUGUGUAUUUCUGUGGCACUAAUUAAUACAUGGGGCCCUGACAGAUCACAUUAGUUCAGGGAGAACAUAAGAACCAAGGAAAACAUUCUCAUAUCACUGUCCCAAAGGUCUGCCUAUGGUGUGCCGGUAAAGUUUUACAAUUUUUUUUCCCCUAGACAUUCAAAAUAUUAACUACAAUGUUGCAUUAAUAUAAUGAACUAAUAUUCCUUGGUAUAAUUAAUUUUUCCUACUAAAUUUGAAGACUUUGAAAGCUCUGUAUCUUGGGAUCAAGCCUAUAUGCUUGUUAUUAUAUAUUUUUUUUCCUCAGGCUUGACUGAAAAACGUUUAAGUGUAAGAAUGAAAGAAUAUUGAAGUCAUGAGUUUCUAAUUUCUCUAUGAACAGAUAUCCCACUUAAGGGUAGGGACGAAUGUUUGCUUUCUAGCAGCCAACCCCAAAGCAUCACCAUACACCCCUCAUAUACAAAUCACUUCUUUCUGUAUGUUCCCAUAUCAUUGCGUCCUUGACUAUCACUGUGCUCAGUACUGUGAUUUUAAAAUUAUUUAUCUAUCUAACAUUUUUUUACUGGAUUCUAACUCCAAAAAGGUAGGAAACUGGUCUUAUUUUGUGUGUGUCUCUUCUUCAAACCUUGGUACAGGGUAAGGCAUAUGGUAAUUGCUUAUUGAAUGAAUCAAUACUCCAUUGAAUAGUCAUUUUAUUUUGUUCUCACAUUACUUCUGAACUUGAUCAAC
Molecule: long non-coding RNA, 2489 nt
Organism: Prionailurus viverrinus (fishing cat)
Lineage: Eukaryota; Metazoa; Chordata; Mammalia; Carnivora; Felidae
Exons: 5
Source: RefSeq, a predicted model, not a curated record